AUUUCAAAAGACAUUUCAGCCUUUUGAGAUGGGUUGCUGGUAGUUUUUUUUCCUUUCCUUGGAGCCCUCCUAAUGCUCUGGAGCUCUUCCUCACUUUUCUUUAGUAAAUCCACAUUCUCUUUGCUGAAACCAAUGACAAGGUCUUCCUCUCCCUCUCUACUGGUCCAUGUUUACCCAGCACUCAAAGAACACGCCGGCUGCAGUAGUUGGCUCAGAGAAUGGAAGAUCUACAAAGGCCAGGACUGCCCUUAAACUUGGUAUGCGGGUGAGGAUGACCUUGCGCUUGCAUCCGUGUCUGCCUCCGCCGUCCUGGGAUUUCAGUGGUGCAUCUCUGCAUUGGGCUGUUUUGGCAAGGGCAGGUGUGUGUGGGUUGGGGGUUUAUUAGGAGAAAGACGGUGGGUGUGGCUUCUCCUGGGCGCACACUGCCUCACCUUUGCAGACUUCUCCUUCUUGUACCACCCCAUCUGCCUGCUGGCUUGUUUUCACCCUUUCUGGAGUUUUCUGACAGUUUUCAUGACUGAUGGAGUCAUCUGGAAUGAAUGACUCAGGACGGACUGUUUGCUGGUGAUUCACGCCCACACCUCGGAUGCUGGUAAUUGACCUGCUUCCCUUUACCUCAGACAAGCUGAUACCACAUAGACAGAGGCUGCGGAAAGAUGAUGAAGGUUGUCACCCCCAAACAACAGCUCAAAACAAUUUCAUUUAGUUGUGACCCCUUGGUCUUCUCAGGGCGUUUCCUUUGGCUUCAAGAGAGAGACCCAGUCAAUACAAUUGCU
Mesocricetus auratus (golden hamster) is the source of this 776-nucleotide long non-coding RNA. RefSeq lists it as uncharacterized. Lineage: Eukaryota; Metazoa; Chordata; Mammalia; Rodentia; Cricetidae. The transcript has 3 exons. The record is from RefSeq and is a predicted model, not a curated record.